UUGUGUGCUGGUGGCUCUGCUUCGGCCUGGGCAGCCUUCUGGCGGGGCAGGCGGAGGCCCCGAGCCCCAUGGAGCCGCCGGAGCGGAGCCGGCCAUACGCCGUGCUGCGUGGGCAGAACCUGGUGUUGAUGGGAACCAUUUUCAGCAUCCUGCUAGUGACCGUGAUCCUUAUGGCAUUUUGUGUCUACAAGCCCAUUCGCCGUCGGUGACAGCUGAGCGACCAAGUUCUUCCACAAGUAUUGGGGGAAAGUAUAAAUUGUGUUGCACAUGGGUCAUUGGAGAAGUUGGAAUUAGAACUUCACCACUUGGAAAUGACCUUCAGUCUGGACAGUUGGUAAAUGUGAAAUGAUUUAGAAAAAACGUCCAUCUGGCAGUUAUUUUUUUCCUAACACUAUAAUGUAAAUAACUGACUCUGCUUCUUGGUGUUUCUUUGUAUAUCUGGCUGCACUUAACGCUUGUUACAAGAAAGACCUGAAGCUACAAGUUUCAGUAUAAAGAUGGGAAAACAGCUAACUAUGUUAGUGGUGGGAAAACCACACUGGAAAGGACUCAUCCCGAAUAUUGGAAAAUACUCAUAAGUGGAAGACUUGACGUGUAGACAUUUCGUACUUGAGAACCAUUUGGUCACAGUGGGGUUAAGAGUCACCCGUGUUUUUAGUUAGAUUGAGCUGGCCUGGAAUGCCCUGGUUGCAAAGCAGUGUCAGUUGUGGGGAACUUAGGCCAUUGGUCCUCGUGCCACAUCUGGGUCUGCACCCAGAUGCCCCUGAUGAAGUCAGGCCACAUUAGCUAGGCCUGUGACCAUGAGCACCCUGGGGCUGGAAGGCUCUGAGUUGGGCUGAUUACUGGUUGGCCCAUCUGAAAAAGAGCUCCAUCCUGCUUAAAUACACCGAGCUCCCUGGGGCUGCGCUCAAGCCUUUCCAGCCCCUGGCCUAAAGCUUGUGGCAGCUUUUCAGAUUUGGAAUCUAAAAGAAACUCAGCAGGAGCUCUUUUUAGCUGUGGGUGGGGAGGUCCUCAACCCACAAAAGUGUGUGUUCAUAGUAGGAGGCUGAGAGGCAGGUGAAUGUGUGUUUACACAGAUUUCAUCUCAACCUUGAAAAUGCUGCUGUUUUGCACUGUUGAAAUGGAUUUUUUUUUCCUGUUGAAAUACUUUCAUACUUACAAAGUGGUUAACAGUAUUUAUUUUAAAGGUGCUACGCUUAAUUUUCUUUGUUACUGAACUGAAAUGCUUGUCUUGUAUUCCAGUCACCUCACUGAUGUGUGUUGUUUUUUGUUGUUUUUUUUUUAACAACCCGCACUAAAUGUGAAAUAACUAACGUAGGAUACUGUGACUGUCGGACAUCAGGAUUUUGUGUGUAACCCUAACAUUGAGCCACUGAAAUGUUCACUGUUUUGUGGUUUUGAGCAAAGUGUCAAUUAAAAUUAAAGUAAAAUCUUACAUGCU
Long non-coding RNA from Lontra canadensis (Northern American river otter), 1441 nucleotides. RefSeq lists it as uncharacterized. The transcript has 2 exons. The record is from RefSeq and is a predicted model, not a curated record. NCBI's taxonomy places the organism in Eukaryota, Metazoa, Chordata, Mammalia, Carnivora, Mustelidae.